GGGCUGGGGUUGUGGGUUGGGGAGAAGGCAGGGGUAUCCUUUAUCUCUGACCUCCUUCAUUCAGCUGAGCCUGGCCCCCCUUUUAUUUUUCUCCAGUUUCUUUUUAAUGCCUCCUCGGUCUCUACCUCCGUCUCUCUUUCCCUGGGUCUCUCUCCCCUCCAGUCUCAGUCUCUCCCCAUCUGUCUCUCUCUUUGGACCUCUCUCUUUCCUUUUGCACCUGCCUUUCUGUCUCCAGGAACCCAAUGCCACUCAGACCCCUCUCCCCUAAUUUUCUUUCAUUCUCCCCCCUCUCUCUUUCUCUCUCUCUCUCGUCUCUCCUCAUCUCUCUCUCUCUCUCUCUCUUCUCUAAAUUUCUUCUCUAAGACCUUUGCCCCAUCCCCAAUUUCUCUCCCCCUUUUAUUUCUUUCCUUCUCUCCCCCAUCCUCUCAGUCCUCUGUCUGUCUCUCUCCCAUCUGUCUUUCCUCCCCCUCUUUGGAUGACUCUGUCUCUUCUUUCCUUCUGUUACCCAGAUCCCGACCCCCCCAUCCUCUCCCUCGCCCCAAUCUUUCCCCAUCCCCCAUCUCUCCCCCAGCCUCUGGGUUUCUGUCUCUGUCUCUGUCCCCUUUUCUCUCUGGAUAUUUCUCUCUGUGUGUGUCUCUCUCUCCAACUUCCUUCUGCUACCAGCCGCUGCCUCCCCCAAAUUUCUCCCUCCCCCAUUUCUGUUUCUCCGACUCUGGAUCUCGGUUCUUUCCGCCUCUCCUGGCUCUGUCUCUCUCCCUCCCUCUCUGGGUCUCUCUCUUUUUCCCCAGCUUCCUUCUGCCACCCAGACCCUUCCCCCCCAUCACUACCCUUCCCCCCAUCCAUCUCCUCUCCGUGGUCUCCCCCUUCUCAGCGGCUCCCCUCCCCCUCCCUCCUCCCUCCCUCUCUCGUCCUCCAGCUCCGCACUUUACCCAGCGACACGAGAACCAAAUUGUCUCCUCACCUUUUUUUUUCCCCAUCCCGACCCCCUCUACCUCGGGGCCCAAGCUCAGAGCUGCCCCUCAGCCUCCUCUCCCACCUCGACAGCCCCAUUCCCCGUAAGCCUCCUCAUCUCCACCCCCCAACCAGGUCGGACGCCUGGGUCCCUCGCUGCUGGGGGAGGGGGAGCAGUGAGAAUUGGGAGCCACGAGGGUUUUUCUGGGGGGGUGCCGACAGGGGGCUCAGCGUCCCCUCCCCAGUGCAUCGGAGAGUUGACCUAUCGUUAAGAGCUAAAGAGAGAUUGAGAGAUUUAUUUUUCCCAAGUAGAGGACAAAACAGGUGAAGAGGUGAGACUUGCAGGGGAAGAUAGGGAGUGGGAGAACUAUAUGAGAGAAGGGUGAUGGAUGGGAGGGGGGUGUCUUGUAAGAGCUGAGGAACUGGACUGGGCUUUGUUGGGAAGGAAGCCCUGGGGGCUAGAGUGAGGGAUGGCUUUCCCUGUGGUGGGGGUGGGGGUGGGGCUUGGAGGCGUGCCCUAC
Molecule: long non-coding RNA, 1472 nt
Filed under: Camelus dromedarius (Arabian camel)
Lineage: Eukaryota; Metazoa; Chordata; Mammalia; Artiodactyla; Camelidae
Description: lncRNA (ENSCDRG00005002527.1)
Source: RNAcentral